CUUCGAGGGUGCCGCGCCAGCAUCCGCCCGAAACGCUACAGCGCCUAGGAUCAGCGGGAGAGCGCUGCAGUGCUGACUUGAGGCUUUUCGUUCCAUCCGUUGGUGAGGUGAUCGGCGGUAACCAAUGUGUCGUUGGUGUGAUCUAGACAGCGGCUGUGUGUUUAUAUGGAACAGAUAAUUGGUAACGGGCUGGCCUCUUGCCAGAACGGGCAACAGCACCUGACCCAGACGAGGCGAAAGCAGGGAUUCAAGGCGGUGACCGGGUAACUGUGGUAGGUAGGUAGGUAUCCAGGCUCACAUGAGCGUAAUGAAGCGGUACAAGGCAGCUUUUGGCUGCUUGUGGCGUUUAGGGUACGGAUACACAGGUACCGGCGCGUGAUGAAGCGAUGCGAGGCAGCAGCUGGAUAGAGGUAGCGUGCUGGUCUCGCACUAAUUUGUACAAUGGUUCGAUCGACGCGGUGCCUCGCAUCAGGGUUUCUUGUUCGGCUGAGGUCGUAUUGAUUUGGAUGCAGAGAUCGCUUUCGAGCGGUUCGGACGAAGCGCACUUUACCACUGGUCGCUACGACGGACUGGUAUGCGAAUGUAGACGUGCACUCCAAUCUAGUACGCUGCGGGCUGCCGCUCGCUGCCAAGCCGCGGACUUGUACGAAGGCACCUCGUUCGCGUGGCUGCGGGCCCUCUGGGGCCCCACGUACGGUAUCUGCUCCUUGUCGCUUCAGGGUACACGGGGCAGUCACGGCGAUGCGAUUCAGCGCCCCGGUGUGUGUGUGUGUGUCUGUCUGUCUGUCUGUCUGUCUGUCUGUCUAUGAUCGUGAUCCUACGCAAGUCUCGUGUGCAUCCGCUGUGCUCGAUGUUCACGAGCGUUAGCGACCAGCGCAUCGGUGUGUACGCACGUCAUGUCGCGCAGAUCUCGUUUGUAUCCAAUAUGCCGGAUGUUCACGAGCGUCAGCGUUGAAGUUUGAUUUUGGAACCCGGCGUGGUGCUUUUUCGAAAGCCUUGCCCAGAUCCUGGACGGAGGCAGCAGCCCCGUGAAAUCUCCACACCGAUUCGAAUGUCUUGAAUACCAAGUGCCUCUCCAAGGGUACCUACAAAGCUGCCUGCCUGGUUUCGAGAACAGAUCAGCGAUUGGGCGCCGCAUGAGCGUCCACGAGCUCGUUGCGAUGCUAGUACUCUUUCGCGCAGCACUGGCACGGUAUCGUGUCGCCGUAUCGCGUGCAGUGCGGGUGUUGUCGCGUAAUGAACGCUCGAAGCGCAUGUGACGGCUUUGCGAGUGCCUCAGAAACGCACGCUAGACAGCGCACAUACGCAUGUCCACGACCUCCGAAUUCCACGCGUUUUUCCGUGAAACGUAACAUGCUGCGGACGCUGCCUCCAGACAUGGAGCCGUCAUUGUGGCUUCGACCCCGUACAAGUCGCUUCACUCUUCCUCGGGUGCUGCUGGACCAAAAGGUCGCAAGUUUUUGGAUCCAAUGCGCUUCUGCUGUCCUGAGAGCUCGCGCUUGUGCUCAGAACGGCAGAAUGCCCGAUGCACUGAAUAAAACCGCGUCAAAUCCAAUGAUCCAGGCAACUGGAGCCCAAGGCCGCUCUUCCGCAUUUGAGCUUCUGCCACGACAACAUGAACCGCAGUGCAGCGGCCGUCCUGCAGCCGUCACCGAUCAAACGUACCGGCCUGGCUGCGCUGCAGCGCGUCUCUAAAGCGAAGCUGUCUCAUGACACCGGGCGAGAUGGAUGUGUCGGGAGGGGUCGCAUCCAUCUCGCCCGCGCUAUCGGAGGAGCCAGAGCCUCCAGCACGAGUCGCUCGAGCGCUCGCUCUAUCGAUACUCGCCAUUUUUAGGAGGAGCACACCGAUUCUCGGCUUUCCGGCUUUCGAGUCUCCACAGAGACACCCGAAACCUGAUAAGCUCACUGCACGCAGCACCCGCAACAGCCACCUUGAUCGGAGGCGGCAGCCUCAUUUCGCUCUCGUUUACCUUGCAACUUGCCGUUUGCACUCGCCAAAGGCUCAUCGCUGUCGCCAAAGGAUUCCUCAUGACUCGUAGAGAGCGCUGCUUUGGCGGCAGCGCGGAAUGCGCGCUCGACGUUCGUUCCCGUGCGAGAAGAGACUUCCACGUACGCAGCGGCACCUAUUCGUCGUGCAAAACGAACACCUUCUUCAGUCAGCACAAUGCGAGCGAUCGCCGAAGAGCCCUGCAAAACAGAUUGAUCUCGGAGAUCCGCUUUGGUUCCGAUCAAGACGAACGGCACCUCUGGGUCAAAGUCGCGCAUCUCAGCGAGCCAUCGCUGCGCGCAGUGCUCGAACGUGCGACGGUCCACAAGGGAAAAGCAUAAAAUAAACACAUCCAAACCGGGAUGAUAAACGUAU
Molecule: unclassified non-coding RNA, 2362 nt
Filed under: Cyanidioschyzon merolae strain 10D
Lineage: Eukaryota; Rhodophyta; Bangiophyceae; Cyanidiales; Cyanidiaceae
Description: hypothetical transcript
Source: RNAcentral